AGAGUUUGAUCAUGGCUCAGAACGAACGCUGGCGGCAUGCCUAACACAUGCAAGUCGAACGAAGGCUUCGGCCUUAGUGGCGCACGGGUGCGUAACGCGUGGGAAUCUGCCCUUGGGUUCGGAAUAACAGUGAGAAAUUACUGCUAAUACCGGAUGAUGACUUCGGUCCAAAGAUUUAUCGCCCAAGGAUGAGCCCGCGUAAGAUUAGCUAGUUGGUGAGGUAAAGGCUCACCAAGGCGACGAUCUUUAGCUGGUCUGAGAGGAUGAUCAGCCACACUGGGACUGAGACACGGCCCAGACUCCUACGGGAGGCAGCAGUGGGGAAUAUUGGACAAUGGGCGAAAGCCUGAUCCAGCAAUGCCGCGUGAGUGAUGAAGGCCUUAGGGUUGUAAAGCUCUUUUACCAGGGAUGAUAAUGACAGUACCUGGAGAAUAAGCUCCGGCUAACUCCGUGCCAGCAGCCGCGGUAAUACGGAGGGAGCUAGCGUUGUUCGGAAUUACUGGGCGUAAAGCGCACGUAGGCGGCCAUUCAAGUCAGAGGUGAAAGCCCGGGGCUCAACCCCGGAACUGCCCUUGAAACUGGGAAGCUAGAAUCUUGGAGAGGCGAGUGGAAUUCCGAGUGUAGAGGUGAAAUUCGUAGAUAUUCGGAAGAACACCAGUGGCGAAGGCGACUCGCUGGACAAGUAUUGACGCUGAGGUGCGAAAGCGCGGGGAGCAAACAGGAUUAGAUACCCCGGUAGUCC
RNAcentral lists this ribosomal RNA (742 nucleotides) under uncultured bacterium. Its description in RNAcentral is "bacterial SSU rRNA". It matches the Rfam family "Bacterial small subunit ribosomal RNA", at positions 8 to 796 of the family's 1533-position model. The record is from RNAcentral.